Molecule: ribosomal RNA, 397 nt
Filed under: uncultured bacterium
Lineage: Bacteria
Description: bacterial SSU rRNA
Rfam family: Bacterial small subunit ribosomal RNA
Source: RNAcentral
GUGUCAGCAGCCGCGGUAACACGUAGGGGGCGAGCGUUGUCCGGAUUUAUUGGGCGUAAAGAGCUCGUAGGCGGCUCGGUAAGUCAACUGUGAAAGCUCCGGGCUCAACUCGGAGAGGCCAGUUGAUACUGCUGUGGCUAGAGUCCGGUAGGGGAGCGUGGAAUUCCUGGUGUAGCGGUGAAAUGCGCAGAUAUCAGGAGGAACACCAGCGGCGAAGGCGGCGCUCUGGGCCGGAACUGACGCUGAGGAGCGAAAGCGUGGGUAGCAAACAGGAUUAGAUACCCUGGUAGUCCACGCCGUAAACGUUGGGCACUAGGUGUGGGUCUCAACCAACGAGAUCCGUGCCGUAGCUAACGCACUAAGUGCCCCGCCUGGGGAGUACGGCCGCAAGGCUAAA